This 1723-nucleotide unclassified non-coding RNA is filed under the name Panonychus citri (citrus red mite). The record is from RNAcentral. Lineage: Eukaryota; Metazoa; Arthropoda; Arachnida; Trombidiformes; Tetranychidae.
UUGAGAAGAUAAUUAGAUGAAAUAAUUAAUUAAACUUUAGGUGCUGCUAAUGAAGCGCAUUCUUCAACAUUCUCAGGCCAAUCGCAAACGUUUUCCUUUAUGUUGAAUACAAGAUUCUGUGGACAAGGCAUAUGAUGUUUCCGUUUCCCUUCACACAUAUAAUACAUGGUACAGUCUUUUUUAUCCUUAUGAUAACUAAUGUGUCCAUCCUCCUCUUCACAAGAAACUUCAUCUUUAUCUAAUUUUUGGCCAAUUGCAUUAUUUAAAUUGCUGCUUGAGGUUUCCAGGUUAGCAACUCGAUAACCUCUUAGCUCUUCCUUUGCUGCAUUUAUCAAUGGGUAAUUGAAACCCAUGCAGGUUCCCUUAAAAUCAUCCAUGUCAAUAGACCAGAUCAUUAUGCCGCUGUAACCGGCUUGUUUUAACCAUUGAACCUUAAUUUUAAAACUACGGAGAUCAUCAAAUCCAACCCAUUGGUCAUCUUUAUAUGCAUAAGGAACCAUUUGUUCAUUGUCCCAAACUAAAGUUGCUCCUUGUUUAAGUAAAUCACAGACUUCAAAGAAUGAAAGGAAUCCAGAUUCACGGGUAAAUUGACCUGGUAAACCUCCUUUUAUUGCCGGUGCUCCGAUAUCGGUUAAAUUGGAUGAUUGGAGUGUAAAGGUACGUCCAUAAGUCGGUAGGCCUACAACCAGUUUCUCCUUUGAUGCUCCUUUGUUGACCCAUUCAGAGACACUGAAAUCCACUGUCAGCUUCUUGUGGUAACCAGUGGCACUAUUUAACGGGAAAAGUGGACUAUUGUGACCAACUGCGUGUUCCCAAUCUCCAUGGAAAUCGUAAGUCAUCACACUCAUGUAAUCCAAGUAAUUGUUUAAUUGUGGGACAUCAUAUCCAGCGGCAACGGCUUCGAAACUGGCCGGAACAGCGGCACUUAAUAGUAAUCGAGAUUUUUUAGAACCUUUUGCUUCUCCCUCAAACGUUCAAAGGCUUCUCUCAAUUCUUUAAUCAAUCCGGUAAAUUUGGCCUUAUCGUCGGGUCCUCGAGGGAAUUCCCAACAUAAGUCUAACCCGUCGAAACCGAUUUUUCUUAAAAAUUCAAUGGUGCUAAAGGUAAAUGAGGUUUGACGAUAAACGUUCUCGGUUAAAGCUUUGAAUGGAGCUGGACCGACCAUCCAACCACCGACGGCUAAUAAUAAUUUAAGGUCAGGGUUUUUCUCUUUCAGUUUGACCAAUGAAGCGAGAAUCGAUGGAUCUUCGGAUUCUUCGUCUAAUUUGUGAUCUUUUAGUCCGGUGAAAGCAUAGACAAGGUGGGUGCAUAGGGUUGGAUCAAUGUUCUCAGGUUCAAAUUUACCAGCACCGGGACGUUUUUGUGACCAUUUAGUGAAAUAGCAAAUUAUCCGAGCAUUAGUUGAAUUAGGAUCGAUUUCUGAUUCGGUUAUUGCAUUAUCUGGAAGUAAAGUUGUUCCAAUAUCCGAUUUUUUCUCAAUCAAAUUAGUCUCAGCAUUGGGGGUUGUUGGCUUAGGUGAGGUAAGAGGACGAGCUGAGGCGCGUUUAACAACGGCAUUAAAGGAAGAUUGUGGAGCUGGUCGACCCAUCAACUCUUCGGUCAUGAUACCAAUCAAUGGAUAUUUAACACCAGUACAUCGGCCUGAAAAAUCAUCCAUAUCAACAGUCCAAACCAUGGCUCCAGCAUAAUCAUUAUCAAUAAUCCAUUUCAUCUUAUUACGAAU